UGUAUAAAACUGAAGGAAAAAAAGUUUCACAGUAAGAUCUCAAGUAGCCUCAAAGCUUUGGCUUCACACACAAAAUACAGUCAUACCAACCAUUUUUAUUCACUCAAAUACUGUGAAUUAUGUAACUUCCAUACAAUAUAGUAUUGUUGAAGGAAAAUAAAAAUAUACACAGCACACAUAUACUGCAAUAUCAAGACAAACAAAAAACAGGCAAAUUGAUGUGGGCUAUAGUGUACUGUAAAUAAAUCUGCAGCUUACAGAAAACACUAUAGCAACUCUUUACUGGUCGCU
Long non-coding RNA from Syngnathus acus (greater pipefish), 291 nucleotides. RefSeq lists it as uncharacterized. The transcript has 2 exons. The record is from RefSeq and is a predicted model, not a curated record. NCBI's taxonomy places the organism in Eukaryota, Metazoa, Chordata, Actinopteri, Syngnathiformes, Syngnathidae.